This is a long non-coding RNA of Entelurus aequoreus (snake pipefish), 327 nucleotides long. RefSeq lists it as uncharacterized. The transcript has 3 exons. Lineage: Eukaryota; Metazoa; Chordata; Actinopteri; Syngnathiformes; Syngnathidae. The record is from RefSeq and is a predicted model, not a curated record.
AACUGACUUCAAUUAAGUGGAUAUUUGAAUCAGCUGUGAAACAUUGAUUAAUAACACCUGACUUGUCUUUGUCUCCAUUGUGCAGCCACCAUCAUGUCUCAGGCCAGCGACGAGCACACUCCUACGGUCCAAAAGGACCUGGAGGAUGUCGAUGAGAUGGCGGGGAUUGCUUCUGACAAAGUGACUCUGUGCAACAAGAUCCUGGAUGAUUUGAAAAACCUGGAUGAAGUUCUAAAGAGGAAAUCUCUCCAGGAUGUCACCAUACCACCACAAAAUGAGCCCAAGUGAUUUUCAUGUUGAAAUUGUAAUAAACACGGCACACUCUGC